AUUGAACGCUGGCGGCAUGCCUUACACAUGCAAGUCGAACGGCAGCACGGGUGCUUGCCCCUGGUGGCGAGUGGCGAACGGGUGAGUAAUACAUCGGAACAUGUCCUGUAGUGGGGGAUAGCCCGGCGAAAGCCGGAUUAAUACCGCAUACGAUCUACGGAUGAAAGCGGGGGACCUUCGGGCCUCGCGCUAUAGGGUUGGCCGAUGGCUGAUUAGCUCGUUGGUGGGGUAAAGGCCUACCAAGGCGACGAUCAGUAGCUGGUCUGAGAGGACGACCAGCCACACUGGGACUGAGACACGGCCCAGACUCCUACGGGAGGCAGCAGUGGGGAAUUUUGGACAAUGGGCGAAAGCCUGAUCCAGCAAUGCCGCGUGUGUGAAGAAGGCCUUCGGGUUGUAAAGCACUUUUGCCCGGAAAGAAAUCCUUGGCUCUAAUACAGUCGGGGGAUGACGGUACCGGAAGAAUAAGCACCGGCUAACUACGUG
Molecule: ribosomal RNA, 486 nt
Filed under: uncultured bacterium
Lineage: Bacteria
Description: partial 16S ribosomal RNA
Rfam family: Bacterial small subunit ribosomal RNA
Source: RNAcentral